RNAcentral lists this ribosomal RNA (460 nucleotides) under uncultured bacterium. RNAcentral describes it as "partial 16S ribosomal RNA". It matches the Rfam family "Bacterial small subunit ribosomal RNA", at positions 338 to 795 of the family's 1533-position model. The record is from RNAcentral.
CCUACGGGUGGCAGCAGUGAGGAAUAUUGGUCAAUGGGCGCGAGCCUGAACCAGCCAAGUAGCGUGAAGGAUGACUGCCCUACGGGUUGUAAACUUCUUUUGCCGGGGAGCAACGGGCGUCACGUGUGGCGCCCCUGAGAGUACCCGGAGAAAAAGCAUCGGCUAACUCCGUGCCAGCCGCCGCGGUAAUACGGAGGAUGCGAGCGUUAUCCGGAUUUAUUGGGUUUAAAGGGUGCGUCGGCGGAUCGUUAAGUCAGUGGUCAAAUUGAGGGGCUCAACCCCUUCCCGCCAUUGAAACUGGCGCUCUUGAGUGGAAGAGAAGUAUGCGGAAUGCGUGGUGUAGCGGUGAAAUGCAUAGAUAGCACGCAGAACCCCGAUUGCGAAGGCAGCAUGCCGGCUUCCGACUGACGCUGAAGCACGAAAGCGUGGGGAUCGAACAGGAUUAGAUACCCGUGUAGUC